CGGUGAAGGUCUUCGGAUCGUAAAGUUCUGUUAUUAGGGAAGAACAACCAGUCUAGGAAAUGAUGCUGGUAUGACGGUACCUGAUCAGAAAGCUCCGGCUAACUACGUGCCAGCAGCCGCGGUAAUACGUAGGGAGCAAGCGUUAUCCGGAAUUAUUGGGCGUAAAGCGUGCGUAGGCGGUUCGUUAAGUCAAAUCUGAAAGCCCACAGCUUAACUGUGGAGGGCGAUUUGAAACUGGCGAACUUGAGUACGGCAGAGGUUAGUGGAAUUCAAUGUGUAGCGGUGGAAUGCGUAGAUAUAUUGAGGAACGCCAGUGGCGAAGGCGGCUAACUGGACCGGAACUGACGCUGAGGCACGAAAGCGUGGGUAGCAAACAGGAUUAGAUACCCUGGUAGUCCACGCCGUAAACGAUGAGAACUAAGUGUUGGGGUUACCCAGUGCUGAAGUUAACGCAUUAAGUUCUCCGCCUGGGGAGUACGACCGCAAGGUUGAAACUCUAAGGAAUUGACGGGUCUCCGCACAAGCGGUGGAGCAUGUUGUUUAAUUCGAAGAUACGCGAAGAACCUUACCAGGUCUUGACAUCCUUCUGAUCGGUGUAGAGAUACACUUUCCCUUCGGGGCAGAAGUGACAGGUGGUGCAUGGUUGUCGUCAGCUCGUGUCGUGAGAUGUUGGGUUAAGUCCCGCAACGAGCGCAACCCU
This 700-nucleotide ribosomal RNA is filed under the name uncultured bacterium. RNAcentral's name for it is "bacterial SSU rRNA". It matches the Rfam family "Bacterial small subunit ribosomal RNA", at positions 406 to 1105 of the family's 1533-position model. The record is from RNAcentral.